GCUUGUAGGUUUUAAUUUCUUUGUUUACAUUCUUAUAUAUUGGGAACCAUUAACAAAGUGCAUGGUAUUUGCUCAUUUCGAUUGUUUUGCCUCUAAAAAACUAUUGAAUCUGAAUUUGUGUUAGAUUAUGAGUACAUGUUUUUUUUUAGCCUAGGAUCAUAAAUGACAAUGAUUAUGAAAUACCCGCGCUUCUGAGAGUAGUCUAUGAAGCUAAAAUGGUACAAGUGGUUGAAUUUCUUGAUAUGAGCCAUUAUUGAUAGACUAAACCAUGUAAUUAUGGGUAUUUUAUUCGGUUAUGUUAUUGAAUUAAUUGUGAAAUUUGGCUGUGACGAUCAUUACACAGCUUUAAGCCAGUUCUGCUUCAGAAAAUUCUUGAUAGAGAGAGCUGAAAUAUGUCUGAGCCUAGUUUUGUUUUUCUUUUCAUAGAUGUGUAUGAGUUUUUUAUAGAGAUUUAUGACAAUGUUAAUUGAGCAGCCUAUGAUGAUGUUAUCCAAUUACUUUAGAUGUAGUGGAACUGAGACCCUGUUUACAGGGAGAACCCUUGGGGAAACUAUAUUCGUAUGAGAAUAAUGGAUCGAACUGAGGCAUUAUGGCAUUUCUCAUUUUUCUUUCUGAUUUGGCCUGAGAUACUUUUUUUUUCGGCAGAGUUUUUGGUACGUCUUGGUAAUUGUUUAGUUUACUCCUGUACCAUGUUUUCAACUUCUUACUAUUACCAUGUCCUGUUAACUGGUGUGUUUGGUUAAGUGGUGGACAUGAAGACUCUAACGCCCCAUAGAGUUUGUGUUGUCUUGCAGAAGCUUUUUCUUUUGUAAUUAACGAGACCGGAGUUUAAUAUUUGACAACAGCAUUAAAUUUUCUGAGUCAAAAUUCUUCACCUCAAUCCGAUGAGGAAGCGAACCCAAAAGAUAGGAAGUGUCGUAUGACACUCUUAAAUACAGCAGUUUGAUUUCAUUUCUUCCUAUUAAACCAAGAAACUUCUAUUGAAAUUCAAACUGUUUUUGAUCUGUUUGAUUAAGAAUUUCCAAAGAAUUCUUUUGAUAUCAGAUCAUUGUAGGUCCAAUUUCCUUAGAUUAGUAUUGGCGGUGGUGGUUGUUUUGAUUCUUUCUGCUGUGUGUAUGAUUUGGAACGGGAAUCUGAGGGUAUUUCUAUCUCUAUUUCUUGUGAAUUUUCUCUAGUUUUCUUUUGAUAGGAUUUGUAUUUAUUCUGUAUUAUCUUAAUUUGGUAUUGUUUAAGAGUUUUAUUGUUGUAUAUGAUGAUAUCGCUGGAAAUGAGUACGAAAUUAGGUGAGAGGACAUACCAUCAUGCUCUGUGAGUUUCAACAUUGAAGUUACUGUAUAUUGAUGUUUGUAUUCACCGCGCGAGAUGGUAUUCCUCCCAUCUUAAUGUGUAUGUUUCUGGUGCAUCUGAUUUUUAGUGAUCUGGUUAGGGACUUGUUAUCGGCGGGGGAGUUGGCACUUGUAUGAUAUCGGUGGGGAAGAUUUAGGCAAAAAUUCUCUCUUUCAUAGAUCGGAGCUAGCCUUUUAAGUUUGUAUUAUGUUUGUAAAUUCCAUUUGCAAACGUCGUAAAGAAAACCCGAGGCUUUGUACAAACUGCAUGGUAUUCAACUUCUUAAUUUUAAUUGUAAUGUCGAUUACAAUCUUGAUUUUAUUGGGACCAGUAACUUACUUCCUAACUAUCCUGCUGGCUUAUUUGAUGGUUUUAUCUUCAAAAAUUCUAGCUACAUUGUUAAUUCUUGCUUAUUUGUGUGUUAGUUAUGAGUACACAUUUUAGUCUAUAUGAUCAUAAAUGGCAAUGAUUACAAAAUACCCGUGCUUCUGAGAGUAAUCUAUGAAGCUAAAAAGGUAAAAAUGGUUGAAUUUCUUGAUAUGAGCCAUUAUUGAUAGACUAAACCAUUUAGUGUUCGAUAUUUUAUUUAGUUAAUGUUAUUAUAUUAAUUGUGAAAUUCAGCUGUGAUGAUCAUUACACUAUGCCAGUUCUGCUUCAGGAAAUUCUUGAGCAGCCUAUGGCAUUUUUCAUACUGAUUCAUACCGAGUUUUGCCUGUAAUACUUUCUAUUUAUUUUUUAGUUUAUUCCUCUCAAGUUUUUGUUACAUCAGUAAUUUUUAGUUCACUAGUAUCAAGUUUUUGUCCUUUAACUGAUGUGUGUUCGGAUAACUGGUGGACAUGAAACUGAAACAACCCAUAAUGUGUGCUUGUGUGGCAUGAACUUCUUCUUUCGAUAAUGAGAAUGGGGUCUAUUGACAGCUACAUUUUCAUUUUCUUAGUUUUCUUGACUUCUCGUCCGAUUUCUUAAACGCAGCAGUAUGAUUUGUUUCAAGGUAUUUCUAUUGAAACUUGUAAUUUGAGAUCUGUUUGAUUAUUAGAAACCAUCUUUCGGGACAGAAUGGUUUCGGGACAGAAUGGCUGUAUGACACUUUUAAAUGCACCACCAUGCAGAUUUAUUUUCUUCCUAUUGAAGUCUGGAUACAUUUUCAACCUGUUUGAUUAUAAGUUCAAUUUCCUUCAAUUUUUUUGAUACAUUUUUUUUUUCUGCUUCAUUGUAUUUUUUGUAUUUUGAUUUGUUAAUCCCGAUGAGGAAGCGAACCCAAAAGAUGGGAAGUGCCGUAUGACACUCCUAAACACGGCAGUUUGAUUUCGUUUUUUCCUAUUAAACCAAGAGAUUCGAUUGAUUUUGAUCUGUUUGAUUAAGAAUUUCCAAAGAAUUCUUCUGAUUUCAGAUCAUUGCAAGUCCAACCUCAUUAGAUUAGUAUUGGCGGUGGUGGUUGUUUCGUUUCUUCCUGCUGCGUGUAAUAUUUGGAAAGGGAAUCUGAGGGUAUGUAUCUUCUAAUUCUUUUUCUAAUUUUCUUUAGCUGUGAUUUGUAAAUAGAAAUUCUGUGCUUUGAUCCUUUUUAGGGUUUUCAUUGUUUUAGUUUUAUAACGAUUUUCUGGAAAAGAGUACCACCAAAUCAGGUGAGAGGAUAUACCCGUCAUGCUUUGUGAGUAUGAACAAAAUCAGCAGCACAGAUCAGGAUUGAAGUUAUUGUAAAUCACUAAAUUGAUGUUUGCAUUCACUGUGCGUGAUGAUGUUCUUCCCAUCUUAAUGUGUAUGUUUCUGGUAUCUGAUUUUUGAAUAGGGACUUGUAUGAUAUCGGCAGGGGAGAUUUUGGCAAUUCAUAAAAAAAUCUGAGAUGUUGAUGGUCGAAAGAUCUCCAUCUCUGGUGGUCUCAUAUUCAUGAGACAUACAUUUAUUCAGUAAUUUAAUCACAUGUUUAGGUAUAUAUAGCCUAUGAGGAUAUCGAAUUAUAAACAACACCAUCUUUCGGGACUGAAUGGCUUAACAACGCCUUGGUGACAUAAUUCUGCAAUUCUGAGGAUUUUAGGUAUUAAUUCUUUUGUUCAUAUUCUUGAUUUUAUGUUUUAGUCUAUAAAAAGGUAAAAAUGGUUGAAUUUCUUGAUUUGAGCCAUUAUUCAUAGACUAAACAAUUUAGGGUUAGAUACUUUUUUUAGUUAAUGUUGUUGAAUUAAUUGUGAAAUUCUGCUGUGAUGAUCAUUACAUAGCUUUAUGCCUAUUUUAGAAAAUUCUUGUGUAUCUUCAUGUAGAUGCGUGUAAUUAGUUGAUUGAAAAGCCUAUGAUGAUGUUAUGCAAUUUUGUUGAGAUGUAGUGGAACUGAGACCCCCUGUUUACAGGGAGAACCGGGGAAACUAUUUGUGGAUGACAAUACUGGAUCUAACUGAGGCAAUUAUGUCAUUUAUCACUAUUUUUUUCCUCUCUUUUCCGUAAUGGUAAUUGUUUAAUUCACUCCUGUUAAGUUUUCAUUUCAACUAUUCUCCUUGUCCUGUUAACUGGUGUGUUCGGAUAACUGGUGGACAUGGAAACUGAAACAACUCAUAGAGUUUGUGCUUGUGUGGCAUGAUGAGCUUCUUCUUUCGUUAAUGAGAAAACGAGAACGGAGUUUAUUAACAACACUGUAUUAGUUAAGGUUUCUCCUUCGAUUUUCAAUUUGUAUCUUGAUUUGUGGUUCUGUGAUUAAUCCCGAUGAGGGAGCGAACCCAAAAGAUAGGAGUAUGACUCUUAUGCAGCAUCAAACAGCAGUUUGUUUUGUAUUUAUUUGAUUAUGAUAUUAUGAUUUCAAAUCUAAGGAGAUUAGUUGGUUGUUGUUUCGUUUCUUUCUGCUGUGUAUGAUUUGGGAAGGGAAUUUGAGGAUAUUUUAUUUCUAGUCUUCUGAUUUUUCUCUAGUUUUUGUAGGUGCUUAACUUUUCCCAUCACCUCAGCUUAAUUAAUAAGAGGUUUUGUAAGAGAAUGAAUAGUGAAUGUUAACUGAUGCACUAAUUCUAUUGUCCCUGACAUGGUUUGAUCAUUUUCCAGAGUAAUUCACUGUUGAUAGCUUUCCUUGUUUAGUUGAAGCCGGUAUUCGAUUCAACUUUGCAGAGGGUCAUACUAAAACUUUGUACGAGUUUGUUCAGAAGGUGUCUCAUGUAGAGCACCUAAUGGUAUAGCAUGCGUACUUACCUCCGGCCCAAGAGUGUUACUCCAACCAAGUUGACCAUGGAGGUGAAUUGAUGGUGGUGGUGGGUUAUCUAGCCUUCCUCGUCUUUAUAAGGCCUAGGGCUGCACCGAAACCGCAAACCGUACCGUAACCGCAAUAACCGAACCGUAACCGCACAGAACCGAUGAUCCAACGAUCGGUCACGGUUUUCAUUUUAAUAACCGUUAGAUUUACGGUUCGGUCAACGGUUUUACCCAUAACCGCACCGAAAAACCGAAUAUAUCUAUAACCAUUGAUUUUAUAAAUCAUUUUAAUCCUAACCCUUCAUUUAUUGUAUAUAAGCAACUAACCUAACCCUAGACUAACACUCGCUCACCAACUCUCUCCGACUCUCUUUUAUCUUCUUCAAAGAACCUGCCUCUUUCUCUUUUUUUUUUCCUUCUUUUACUUACAGUCACGACUACCAUAUAAGAUCAAGAUCAUCACUCCAAUCACCAACUUCUUCUUUUUUUUCUUCUUUGAUUGAUUCUUUUUCUUGUGUACCAACCACCUGCAGCAUCAUGGUUUCAAAACCGCCUCCUACACCACCAUCAUCAGCACCACCGCCUGCUACACCACCAUCACCAGCACCACCGCUUUUUUUGAUUAGGGAAAUUAGAGAUUGAUUGGAUCUAAAUUUCUUUCUUUCUUUCUGUUUUUUUUUUUGAAGUAUCAUGUUAUGUUUGUACUUUUUUACAGGAAAUGGAUCUGUUAUUAUAUGAAGAGAGAAAGAAGGUAUGGUUACGUUGAUGGGAGAUAAAGAGUUUUCAGAGAUAGUAUGAUAUGGUGGAUCUGUUAAGGGGAAUCAUGAUCAAUUAACUAGUUAUGAUUUUUUGAGGAUGGAAGCUUGAAGGUUGCAGUGGAAUUAGGGAACUUAAUUUGACUUACUCGGUGUUUUUCUUUCCAAAGUUUGUUGGAUAAAACUUUGUUUCUUCAUUUUAAUGGUUCAAUUGUUGAAUGUGUUUGGAAAUCACUUGAAUGUAAUGUAAGAAAAUCACUUCAUUUUAAUGGUUCUAAUGUUUGUACUUCU
Molecule: long non-coding RNA, 5534 nt
Organism: Papaver somniferum (opium poppy)
Lineage: Eukaryota; Viridiplantae; Streptophyta; Magnoliopsida; Ranunculales; Papaveraceae
Exons: 2
Source: RefSeq, a predicted model, not a curated record